This 439-nucleotide ribosomal RNA is filed under the name uncultured bacterium. Its description in RNAcentral is "partial 16S ribosomal RNA". It matches the Rfam family "Bacterial small subunit ribosomal RNA", at positions 338 to 795 of the family's 1533-position model. The record is from RNAcentral.
CCUACGGGAGGCAGCAGUGGGGAAUAUUGGACAAUGGGGGAACCCUGAUCCAGCGACGCCGCGUGAGUGAAGAAGUAUUUCGGUAUGUAAAGCUCUAUCAGCAGGGAAGAAAAUGACGGUACCUGACUAAGAAGCCCCGGCGAACUACGUGCCAGCAGCCGCGGUAAUACGGAGGGGGCAAGCGUUAUCCGGAUUUACUGGGUGUAAAGGGAGCGUAGACGGUGCAGCAAGUCUGAUGUGAAAGGUCGGGGCCCAACCCCGGGACUGCAUUGGAAACUGUUGAACUGGAGUACAGGAGAGGUAAGCGGAAUUGCUAGUGUAGCGGUGAAAUGCGUAGAUAUUAGGAGGAACACCAGUGGCGAAGGCGGCUUACUGGACUGUAACUGACGUUGAGGCUCGAAAGCGUGGGGAGCAAACAGGAUUAGAUACCCCGGUAGUC